This 697-nucleotide long non-coding RNA is filed under the name Gallus gallus (chicken). The record is from RNAcentral. Lineage: Eukaryota; Metazoa; Chordata; Aves; Galliformes; Phasianidae.
GUCUUCUUCGUGACAGUUGCAGCCCGCUCUUCGUUCUGCCAGAGGGAGUGUAAUUCUGUGAAGCCACCAUCAGCUAUGUUGAACAUGAACCGUUGCUUUACUGCCUUCUUGUGCCUUUCAUCUGCUGACUCUUUCAGCAUCUCUCCGUUCUGCAGCAUCACCACAUCUCUCUUAUCAUCAUCCUUUUUCUCAUCUUUCUCAUCCAAAGUGAUUACAGGGGGUUCAGAGGUAUUCUCAGUAGGUGCUCUGUCUUCCACUUUCUCCACAUCAGCUUUGCUUUCCACUUCCAUUGGCUCAUCUGUUCUUUCCUUCACCUCUGGUUCUUCUUUCUUCUCAUCUGCUUCUGUGGAGUUCACUGGGGAUUUGGCUUCCUGUGGUGCUGUCUCUGCAGGCUGGGCACACUGCUCCAUAGGGACCUCUGUGUCAUUAGCAGAGGCACUGAGUUCUUUCUCUGGUUCAGCAGAUUCUCCUUGUUCCUUGUUACUGGCUCCUUCUUCUGCCUUUAUUCCCUCUUCAGGAGGAGGGACAGGGGCAGGUGUAUUUGGCUGAGUAUCCCCUGGUGUUGAAGGAGUUGGUGUUUUGGGAGAGGGUGAGCUUGGCUGAGAAAGUUUCUUGUUCUCCUCUAUCUCUGCCAGUUCUGGCAUACUCCAGCGGCCAUUCACAUGCUCAAAUUCCUGCACCUUUUUGCGUAUAAGUG